RNAcentral lists this transfer RNA (75 nucleotides) under Candidatus Bathyarchaeota archaeon. RNAcentral's name for it is "tRNA-Arg". It matches the Rfam family "tRNA". From Rfam's summary of the family: Transfer RNA (tRNA) molecules are approximately 80 nucleotides in length. The record is from RNAcentral. Lineage: Archaea; Thermoproteati; Candidatus Bathyarchaeota.
GGGCUCGUCGUCUAGUCUGGAUAGGACACUGGCCUGCGAAGCCGGAGAUCCGGGGUUCAAAUCCCCGCGGGCCCA